RNAcentral lists this long non-coding RNA (22388 nucleotides) under Capsicum annuum. RNAcentral describes it as "long non-coding RNA (CANN_LNC022366)". The record is from RNAcentral. Lineage: Eukaryota; Viridiplantae; Streptophyta; Magnoliopsida; Solanales; Solanaceae.
ACCACUCUCAUACAAACCCUGAUCUCCAUACGAACCAUAAUUCGAGCUAUUCUCAUACGAAUUACCAUAAUUAGUCCCUGCCGAGCCGCCAAAUGACGUCGAUGAAUAAGGAGCUGGUGAAUUCACUGAAUUAUAAUUAGGCGGAUUCGGUUCCUGAUAAUUAGCAGCAGGAACAGCAUAAUCAUAACUCACAGGUGCUUGAUUUUGAUCAUACGGAUAAUAAUUUGGCUGCGGAGCCUCGAGGUGAGGGAAACCGUAUGACGAUUGAGAGGUGGGAUUUGAAGGGAAGGGAGCAGGUGGAUUAGGGGCAUGAUCGGCAGGGCCCUGAGCAUACGGCGGAUAAGCGGAGGCGUAAUUGGAGUAAUCACCGGAAGCAACCGGCGGAGCAGAUGCAAAUUGGCUGGGGACGGGGGCCGCCGGAGUGUAGGGUUGAUCGGCCGGAGUAGAGCUAGGGUUAGGAUUAGGGUUAGGGUUGGGAAAGGGAGGCUGGUAAUAUUGGUAAUAGGUAGAGCUAACGUCACCGUGCUGCAUAUCGGAAUUUAUAUGAUUGAUCGGAGAAGGAGAAAGAUUUGAACGGUGAUUGAUUGAUGGGUUUAGAGAAAAUUAUUAUGUAUUUUAAGAUGUUUAAUUUGUGAUUUAAGGGGAGUUUAGAUAAAGAAUAUGUGUGUGGAAGAAAAGGAAAGUUCCUUGACAGUGAAAGAGGAAUCUGGAAAAGGCCUUGUUGAUGGACACAAUGCUUUACCCGGUGUAAGAACCCAAGGAAAUUGGGUACCUUCGGUUAGGAUGCAAAUUGAAGUAAUUUGCUGUAUCGGGGUUUCGGUUUGAUUUUUAAAUUUAUCAAUUUUAAAUUAUUUAUUGACAUGAUAAAUUUUUAUAGAAUCAUUAAGAUAUUGAUUUGGUUAUUGAUUCAUCGGUUAUUAUUAUAUUGAUGGAUAAUGUUUUGCCCAAUAUAAGAAUAAAGGGAAGUGGAUAUCUAUGAUAGGACAAAUUAAAGUAAUUUGCAUAUCAAAUUAUUCGAUUCGAUUUUAAUAUUUAUCGACUUGACUUGUUGGUUAUUAGUUUAUUGACAUGAUAAGUCCUUGUAAAACCAUUAAGAUGUUGGUUUAAUUAUCUUUAUUGGUUAAUGAUUUUAUCAUUAAAAUUCACAUAAAAAAUGAACAGAUUUAUAUAAAUUUACAAGUUAUAUUUUCUUCAAAUGCAAAUAGUGACACCUUAUAAAAUAGCUAGAAGUUUGAGGCAAUAGAAAAUGCGAGUAUAAAACUGAAUCCGAAAUCUGGAUCUUUAUAUACUUGAUAAUAUAGAUAUAAUUUGUUAAUUUGCUAUCAAGUUAUCGGUUAAUUAUUUUUCAAAAAAACUCGAGUCAUUAGGAACUAAUAAUCCUUUAUAAAGAAAAUCAAAACGAUUACCCAAACAACUAAAUCAAUGAUUCAUUACCAAUAAUUCAAUAACUUUUUUGUCAAUUUGAAUUGUUAGUUUCAGUACGGUUUUGAACGAAUCUAAGUUGAAUUUUUAUUUCACUUAUAUCUAAUCGUUUAUAUAUAUAUACUAGUUAUUAAUAGCCCGGGCAAGGCUCGGGCCCAACAAAUAUUUUAAAAAAAAAUUAUUUUAAUUAUUGUGAUUUAUAAUAUUUUUUUAAAAUAUAUAAUAGAUUUUUUAUAGAUAUUUUAAGUUGAUAAUUAUUGUAAUUUAUAAUAUUUUUUUUGUAAUUUUUAAAUAAUAUAUAUCGAUCUCGUUGUCCAAACUUUUGUGGCAUUAAUAGUCAAUCACAUUUUUAAAAUAAUUUAAGUUUUAAAUUAUUGUGAUGUAUAAUAUUUUUUUUCUAUUCAAAUUGAAGUGUCAUGAUGCUUAGAUAAACAUAAUAAUUAAUUAUGAGUGAUAUAGCGAAGCAGACAUGUCUUAAUGAAUCACAACAACUAAUUAGAAGUGAUAUAAAUAAAUUACUAUAAAAAAUAUUUGUAAAUUUUUUUUGAUUAACUUAUCAUUUUACAUCUAUUUUACUUUUUUAAUCAAAUAUUAUUAAUUGAUACAAUGCUCAAAUAGUCAUAUAAUUAGGGGAAAUGACAGAUACGACACUUCAAAUUAAACUAUUUCCAUGAAAAUGACCAUGAAAUUUUAAUUUUACUUUCUAACUAUUUCAAUUUACUGACUUGUUCUAUAUCGUUUCUACACACCUUCUAUACAGUUUCUAUACAUAUCUUAUACAUAUAAAUAUUCUAUAUGAAAAUUUUACAAUUUUGACACACAAUUUAUACAAUAACUGGACAUUAUUCUUACGCGUUUUAUACAACAAUUAUAUAGUUUUCAUACACUUUUUAUAUAUUUUUUAUAUAUAUUUUAAUCCUAUACAAAUUUGAUACAAUCACCCCACCUGUCUUCAACUUUCUCAACCUCCUCCAGACAAUCCAAUAAUCAAAUCAUAUGAAAAAAAAUGAAUCAUGUAAUUAUCAAGAGAAAAGAAUUGAUCAAUAAUUUUCUUUAUUGCAUUGUUCGCUAUCUAAUAGUAUUGAUUGUUAACAUUUGACUUUUAUUAACUUAUCGAAUUGCUUAAUAUAAUUAUCAAGUGCCUUUUUUGUUAAUAUAAAAUUAUAUAUUUAUUUUAUUUAAUCAUAUAUUUUUUAUUUUUUUAAUAAAAUAUAUGAAUAGUAAUUUGUCUAUUAUCUAAUCUCAGUUAAUUUCUUUACUGAAAUUCGUCUAUUUAAUUUAUUCAUUAUAUUCUCAAAGUUAAUUCAGAAGUCUUAUCCCUCACUCCAUCCUCUAAUUUAAAAAAAAAAAAUACUCUAUUUUAAUUAUUUUCUUUAGAAUACGAUGAAUUAUUUUUUUUAGUUACAUUUCAUAGGCAGAUGAGUUUUUUUCUCUUACAUUUCAAAAUAUAAGAUACUAAAUUUAAAUCUAGAUCACUUAAAUUCUUAUAUUCUAAUAUUCAUUUAAUUCAUUAUUUAUUGUUGCUAUACAUGACAUGCAAAAUUUAAAUUUUUACUUGUUAUGAUUUAAAAAUUAUUUUCUCAUUUAACAUAUUAAUUGUAUUACACUACUGCUACACAUACUAAGUAUUUUUUUUUGGUUUAAACCACCCGUUGUCCAGUACUUGCUUUUUAGGAGUCCAACUAUAUCCGGUCGCCCCGCGUCGGGGCCCAUUUGGGUGGAGAGCUCCCAACAAAGUAUUUGUCCAUACCCAUGGUCGGACCUUCGACCUUUGGGUAGGUUGGGGUAGCCCCUUUUCACUGCGCCACCACUGUUGUUGGUCACAUACUAAGUAUUACUAUUAAUACACAUAUAUACUAUGUGCUACAACUACUACUACUAUUUAUUAUUAUUAGUAGUAGUAGUUUCUUAUACUUCAUUUAAUAUUUUAAUAGAUUACAUUUAGAUGUAUUUUUAAUAUAUUUCAUAAUUAAAUGUACCUAUAAUUUUUUAAAAAAAAUUAUAAGUUUAUCUUUGACAAGAUAUUAUAUCCCCAAUUCAAAUUAAAAAAAAAGAAUAGACAACAAUAAGAAUUCAAUUAGAACUCUUUAGUAUGAUAGCUAACUAUUUUUAAUAUGUACUUUCAUAGACUUUUAAUUUAUCUUUAAUCUUGUUUUAAAUCAAAUAUCAAUUGAAUAGUUUAGAUAUCUUUUUCCUACUUAUCAAUUUUUUUUAUUAUUUUUAAUAUUAUAUAAUGUUCUUAUCUUUUAAUAUAUACUAUGGACUUACACAUAUAUAGAGAGAAUAAAUAAAUUUUACUUAUUAAAUAAAUAUGAGAUACAUAAUUUUCAAACAUAUUAAAUGUUGGAAAGAUAAAAUAAGUGAUUACAAUAAUAUUUUAGUCGGAAUGAUUUCUUUGUAUAAGUAAUUUUGACAAUAGUAUUAAUAAUACAAAAAUUUUAUUUACGUAUUUGAUGAUAAAAUAAAAUAAAAUAACUAUUUGCCUCCCUCUCCUCAUAUCCCCUCCCCCACCCCCAACCAAGCUGAAAACCCACCAAAAAUAAAUUAAAAUCAAAUAUUUUCUAUUCUUUUUUAAACUGUUAAAUUUAAAUUUAAUUAUUUCUAAUUUUUUAAAUUCAAAUGCUAAGAAGAUUAAUUUAUUAUUCUCUUUAUUCUUAUUUUUCUUUAAAAUGUGUAUAUUUACCUUAUAAGUUAUAUAAUUGAAUUGAGACAAAUAUUUAAGAUAAGUGAUAAUGAUAAUAAUAAUGUAGUAGCAGUAAUAGUAGUUAUUGUUGUUUUUAUGUUGUUGUUGUUACUACUGCUGCUACUACUAAAACUAUCACUAUUCUAGUAUAUUUUUUAAUAACUUUUUCAAAGUUACACUUUAUGAGUAAUUAACUCUUCUUCUCUUAUAUUUUAAAUAUUAAAUAUUGAAUUCUUCUCUUAUAUUUUAAAAUACAAAAUACCGAAUUUAAAUUUAAGUUGAUUUUUAUAUUUUAAUGCUCAUAUGACUUGUUGUUUAUCGAGAUUUUAGUUGUGCGAUUUUAAAAAAUAUAAACGACAAACAAAAUUAGUUAAUAUUUUUUAUGUAUAAAUAUAAAUUUGCAAGUAAAAUCAUGAAAAGAAUAAAUCAAUUGCAAUAUUUAAGUGCAUAUAAAUCUUUUUUAUAACCUUCUUAGAAUAGAGUGGAUAUGUAAAUGUGAUAGAUAAAUAUAUUAUAUUUGAACACACGAUAAUAUUUGUAUUCAUUCUUUACGCAAAUGAUCUGAUUAAUUUUCUUUGUAUAUUUCGAUUCUCAAUUGUACUUGCUGAUUUCCUAGCUUCCUUAGAUGCAUUUGUGACAAAAGAUAAAUAUAGUGUUAAUUAGAAAAAAAUAAAAUUACUAUAAAAUUAAAUAAAGUAUGAGGACAUACCUUUCUAAUUUAUUUAGAGAAAUUUGAUGUGCAUUGCCUAUAAUUUUUUAAUUCAUGGUAGGUACAUUGCUUCAAAAAAAUAAAUAUAAUGUUAAUCAUAAAUAAUAAUAAAAUAAUUCAUAUAACUUUUUUUGAAAUAAACACAAUCUAAAUAUGAAAAUAAUUGUAACUGACAGAAAAAAAGAAGAUGAAGGAAUGAAGAAAACUUAAAUGAUAUAUGUAUUCAAGAGGAUAUAUAUAUAGGAGGUUACAAAUCCCGAUAUUUAUGUUAAGAAAAAAAAAAGAAGAAAUGAAGAAAACUUAAAUGAUAUAUGUAUUCAAGGGGAUAUAUAUAUAAGAGGUUACAAAUACAGAUAUUUAUGUCAAGCAAAAUUUCAGUCAAAUUCAAAAUUUAAAUAUAUCAGUUUGUUAGAAAAGAUAAGAUUUUAAAUUAUCAUUAUCUAAUAAUUUAUAAUUUUUAAAAAUUAUUUGAGAAGUUACAUUCAAACUUGAAAACUGCAUAGUUAGCAUUUUAUUAGGAACUCUACCUUAUUUAAUUGAUUUAAAUAAAAAUGAAUAAAAAAGAAGACAUUUGUUCAAACGUGUUCUUGUAUUUAAUUAUUUCUUUAAUUAUUUGUUUUAAAAAAUCAUAAUAAUGUUAAUCACAAAUAAUCGUAAUAAUAAUUUGUUGUAAUUACUAUUAUUGAUUUAUAUUAUUUUUAUUGUUAUUAAUAUUAUUUGGAUAAAUUUUUCAUCUUUUAUUAAUAUAUAAAUAAAUUAUAUUUAAAUAUAUUUCAUAGCAUUUAAAUUUUAACGAGAUAAGUUUGAAAUAGCAAAAUAUCUAUUAGAACUCUUCAAUUAUGGGUUUCUAUUUUUAAGAUGAUGAAAAUCUUUUUAUCAAAAAGAUAAUGUAUUUCAAGUUCAAAUAUUUAAUCUUUCAAUUCAAAACUUGACAAGAGUCCAAUUAGAACAUUCUAAUGUGAUAAAUAACUGUUUCUAAUAAAUAAUUUUAUUUUAUAAUUAUUUUUAAUUUAUUAAUAAUUUAUUAGUCUGAAUUGUCUUUGACAGUUUAACUUAUUUAAAUUUAAUAGUUAUUAUUAUUAAAAUAUUUAAAAAUUAAUAUUAUAUGUUGUUGUAGGAGUAUAUAUAAGAGAGAAUAAAAGUUAGAAUUUAAUUUCAUUUCAACUUCUAGAAUUUCAUUUCAUUUCAACUUUCACUCAAAUUCAAAUAAUAUAUCAAUUUGUUGAAAAAAGAUAAGAUAUUAUCUUUUAUCUUUUUUCAAAAUCAAUAUAUAUUUAUUUUAUAAUGUUAUGUUUGAAUUGAAAAAAUGAUUUGAAAUCAAGCAGCAUAUGACAUAUUUGUUAUAGUUCAUAACGUAUUAUUAUUAUUACUCUUAUUAUUAUUUUUUAAUUAUUAUUAUUAUUAUUAUUACUAUUAUUAUUAUUAUUGUUAUUAAAUACAUACUACAGAUGUACUACUACUACUAUUGCUUUUACCACUACUACUAAUUAUUAUUUUUAUUUAAUAAUAUUUUUAUAUUUAAAUAUAUCUUAUAAUAUUUAAAUAUUAAAAUAGAUAAGCCUGAAAUAAUAAAUUUCUAUUAGAACUCUUUAGUUAUGAGUUUUUAGUUUUAAGAUAAUGAUAAUAUUUUUUAUAAAACAAGAUAAUGUACUUCAAAUUCUAUACAAGAGAGACUAAGAAGGUAGUCCAAUUCAAAUUUCAUUUAAAUUCAAAUUCAAAUAUUAUAAAUUUGAAAAAAGAAGAUUAGUUUGUUAUUUAUUUAUCCUUACUUUUAAAUAUAAUAUGUCUUCAUCUAAUAAUCUAUAUAUUUAAAUUUAGAUAUAUAUAUUUAAAAUUAAUAAUAAAUACUAUUAUUAUUACCAUAUUAUCAUAAAUAUUAUUAUUAUUUUUUUUAUUAUUAUUAUUGUUAUUAUUAUUAUUAUUAUUGUUAUUAUUAUUAUUAUUAUUAUUAUUAUUAUUAUUAUUAUUAUUAUUAUUAUUAUUAUUAUAGUACUACUACCACUUCAAUAUAGUAAUACGUAUUGACCAUUACUACCACUAUUCUUUAUUUAUUUAUUUUUAAUUCAUCUUCUUACGCAUGUACUAAUACUACUGCUGUUUAGUUAUUAUCAUUAUUAUUAUUAUUAUUAAUAUUAUUUUAAUAGUUUUUUAUCUUUCCCAAAUAUGUAAAUAAAUUAUAUUUAAACAUAUUUUAUAACAUUUAAAUUUUAUAAAAGAUAAGUUUGAAGUAAUAUAUAUCUAUUAGAACUCUUUAAUUAUUAGUUUUUAUUUUUAAGAUAAUGAAUUUUUUUUUGUGUAAAAGAAUAAUUUAUUCAAAUUCAAAUACUUAAUUUUUCAAUUCAAUUUUUUUAUUACAAUAUUUUUAACUGUCUUAAUUUUUUUUUAAUAUUGUCUUAAAAAUUGCCACGUGGCUAUUUUAAUAACUUGACAUGUGACAUCUUAUCUUGCUUAUGUUUUGCUUUUAUAUAUAUAGAGAUUUUAUUACAUUUAAAUUUUAUAAAAGAUAAGUUUGAAGUAGUAUAUAUCUAUUAGAACUCUUUAAUUAUUAGUUUUUAUUUAUAAGAUAUUGAAAAUCUUUUUUGUAAAAGAAUAAUUUAUUCAAAUUCAUCACUGCUGUAAAUUGGAUUCUAUUACUGUGUCCUUACCAUCUAGAGUUGCUAACUUGGUAUCAUCUAUUAGUAUUCACUCAUGCCUUCUAGCAUGUGUUUCUCAUGUUGUAAGGGAUGUUAUUGAGGUCUUGUUUGGUUAUUUUCAAUAAAAAGGAUAUGAAUUGUCUAUGAUUAUUUUUUCAUAUAACUUAAUUGUAAAUGUUUGAAAACUAAAGUGCAUAGAACUUAAAAUGUUAAACAUAAUAAUGCUGAUAAAAGCACCAAAAUCGUAUACAUGCUUAUUUUCUGAUAGCUUCAUGGCCAAUGAUGAUGCUAUUGAAGUCCUAAGAAGAUCUUUGUCAAAGUCUCAAGCUCAUAUUAUUUGGCUUCAAUGUAAAAUAAAAAAGAUGCUUACGAUGGAAGCAGAGCCCAAGAACGAGUUUAAGAAUUAUGGAGAAGAAUGGGCAAAGUGCUACACAUAUUUAUGAUUCAAGUCCAAGCUCAAACGGAAGAAGAUUGGACCCAUAUGAGUUGUGAGUAAAUUUGAAAAUUUUUCCUUAUUUUCUUAGGCGAGAAUUUUUUGUAUUAUUUUUAUAUGUUUUUCUAGUCCUAGUAGGAUUUUAUUUUUUAUUUCCAUAAUAGUAGAUCCUAAUUUCAUGCUAUUUGGGAUAACUUUUUCCUAGUCCUAAUUAGAUUUGAUAAAAGUAGAUCCCAAUCCGUGCUAUUUGGAAUAGGUUUUUUUCCGGAUGAAUUUUGUUAUUUUCAAUCGGACAGUAUUAUUAUUAAUUGAGAGUUUCUCUUAUUUACACCUUUGUGUGUGGCUAGUUGGGAUUUAUCUUGCAACCCUACAAAAAUAUUUUUUUAGGAGGUAAGAUUUAUUCUUAAUUUGGUAUCUUUGGUUUCUAUUAAAGUUAUGGCUAGUUGGAAUUUAUCUCGCAACCCUACAAAAAUAUUUUUUUAGGAGGUAAGAUUUAUUCUUAAUUUGGUAUCUUUGGUUUCUAUUAAAGUUAAUUAAAGAAGGUGAUUAGUCUUGUAUUAAUUGUUGUCUUUAGUUUCUAUGAAAUAGGGGUCUAGAUCACUUUUGAUUUAAGUUAUUGAAUUGACUCUAUUUGUAUCAUAAUUAGUCUUAAUUCACUAAUUUUGAAUAGUAAAAUCAAUUAGGGUUCUUAGCACUUAACUCGAAAUUGAGAAUUUUAUUCUCUAAUUCUGCCUAUCUUUAAUUUUUGUCUUUAAUCUUAGUAUUUUCGUUUUCGCAUUAUUUUCUUGUUCAUUAACGUAACCCGAUUUUUAUGAUUUUUCCUCUCAAAAUAAAUUUGGAAAAAGAAUGACCAGACUAACCUCUUAGUAAUUAAACAAUAAUCCCUCGUUUCAAAUUCUCAUGGCAUUAUUUUCUUAUUAAUUCAUGUUAAAAUAAUGAUAUAUUUUUAUAUAUGAAAAGAAGUUGUACUAUUUUUAAUUUGGAACCUUUUACAAAUCAAUUUUUUGUUACAAAAACUUAGUACUAUUUUUACAUAUAAGCGAUUUAAAUAAGUGAUCAUAAAAUAUCAUCCCCGAAAUUGGAAGUGCACAUGAAAAAGUAGUACAAAAUCUGAACAAGUACAAGUAAACUCCUCCAUCAGCGGGAGUCCACGUCAGAAGGGCCCAACAUAGGAUUCUACAUCGAGCCCAGAAAGUACUUCCAAUAACAAUGCAACACGUGUAGUAUUUGACACAACUCACGAAAUACUCGGCCAAAGCUGGCCCUACAAAAGUUUUUUGGCGGGUCAUUUACAACAACAAAUUCAAAUUAGCAGUCUUUAUCAAAUCCCUAGGUCAUCCCGCCCCCAAAAAUCCUUUCCCUCCAAUCACCUCUUCCUUGUCUCCCCCCUCCCCCAAUUGGCUAGCGUUUAUGCUUCUCUCUGAAUUUUCAGGUACGCAAUUUUUUAUCCUCCUUUUCGUUUUGUUUGAUUUUGUGUGUGUGUUUUCAUAAAUUUAUUGUACUUGUCUGGGAAGUUUACGGUUUCAAGCCGUGGAAACAACCGUUUGUAGAAGUGAAAUAUAAGGCUGUGCAUCUUUGUGGGUAGUUGCUUCUCUGGACCCUGCAUAUAGCGGGAGAUUUAGUGCAUUGGACUGCCCUUUUUAAUCUAGGAGGUUCCAAUUUUUGUCUCGUUUCUGGAUUUCGUUAAUUGUUGCAUAUUUUAUCGGAUAUGAAGUUAGUUAUUGUUUGUGCGCGCGCUACUCUAUGCUUGAAUUGUAGGGUUCAGCUGUUAAUUUUUGUUUAUUUUUCUGUAGCGAUAAUAAUCGCGGCAGUUUUUUAAAGGCUGUUCGGAUAUCGAGGUAAUUAGCGAGAUAUUCGUGUCUGGCUCUUGUGAGGAUUCUUCAGUUAGUUCUUUGAAACCAUCAAAUUUCUUGCAAUUCCAUUAGGUUGCUUUUGGUACUGGUUAAUGUUUUCUAGAGAAAUGCUAUUAAAGAGGAGACAUUUUGCUUUGUAUGACGUGUUGUGUACCUGUUUUCAUGCUUGGGUUGUUAUUAAGUAAGUCAACAGAGGCGUAUGAUAUGGUAUAAUAUAGCUUCUGGCAAUAUUUUGUAUGUCCGAAUGUUGAUUGAAAAAACCAGUAGGGACUCUUUGGAGGUAUUUUGAAAGGAAAAUGACUUCUUACAACUAAUAAUUGAAGUCCCUUUUACUUUAUAGUGGACUGUAAUUUCCUUGUGGAAUUUUUUUUUAGACUGUUAAUUUCAAGGGAAUUGAAGCAUUGUUAAAUCAUUUCUUAUUGAAACAUUUUCUUUUAAUGCCAAUAGCUCUGUAUGAAUGUUUCCUGUUUUGAUAAAUUAUUUCAUCUAGUCCUUUUUACUUUUUCAGGUUAACAUGGAAAGAAAUCUGGGUUAGAUUUACUUUUAUGUUUGAUACAUAAGUGUGGGAGUGAAGGGAAAACCUCAAUUUUCUGCCAAGUAGAGAAAGGAGAAAAAGGUAUUAUGGGGAAAGUGUCUCCUAAAGAUGGGCAAUCCAAGACUCCGAAACAGAAAAAGCGAUCGAAGUGUAUAAAGAGCAAGUAUCUGAGACCAGGUGCUCUUGCACAACUUCGGAACACGAAGAUUUCUGCUGCUAAAUCGAUUACUGAUCUUUGGAAGAAAAGAGUGGUUGUAAGAAAUGCAGAUGAUGUUAAGGAGGAAGUUGUGCUUCCAAAUGAUGUUAAGGUUGAGAGUCCCAUAUUUCUAUCUCCCGUGAGAUCUCGUUUGGGUGCCGUAACUUCACCCUUGGAUUUAGCCAAGCAGAAUAAUUUGCAAAUGACACCAAAGACACCCGGAGAUGUAGAAGGCACGUCGGAGUCUAGGCUUGAGUCACUUCCAUUGGAUUUGUUGGUACAGAAUGCUCUCUUUCUUAUUUUAUUUCACCUAAUAAUCCAGUUCAAGUUUUGUUCACUAACAUCUUUGUAUAUAUCAAUUAGCCUGAUUUGCAUUCUCUUGAUGUAUAUGUUGAGAGUCUUGGUUGAACUUUAGGUCAGAUAUCGAGAAAAAUUAAAGGAUUGAAUCUACUUUUUAAAUUGUUGGUUGGUUGGAAGUGUUACAGUUGAAUCAAUUGAAUUGGCUUGAUCAUAUUCAGAAUUUGAACAGAAAGAUUAGUGUCUAUGAGUUUGACAAGUUCAACAGUAAGCAAUAAAAUGCGGAAACGAAAGUUGACAUGUGAUAUUUUAUAGUGGUUCAGCAAGCCAUUAUUCUGUCUUCUUGUGUCUUGGGAUAAAAGGGAGUUAUAUUUGAGUUUAUGAUCAUGAUUAUGAUACAAUUUCUAGUGAUUUUCACGCUCACCACCGAUGUUUUGGAGGUGGGUUUUCAUACUUGCACGCCAACAAUGAGAUCAUACACCACUGAUUUUUUCAGCUCACUCUAUACAAUAAAAGGAGGCCGCUGUCUAUUGUCCUGUACAAAGAAUGAUUUCAUUUUUAGAUGUUCUUCAGGAAGCUGUGUCUUGUUUUUGUGUGCCUCUCGGUCAUCUUUUGUAGCAAUACUCGUGAGCUUCAAAUUUCAGUGAUCUGCACUUAAUUAUGGAGCAUGAUUCAACUUCAAAUGUUUCUGGGAUUAUAGCCAUUUCAGACGUUUCUUUCCCCCUUGCAGAAUCCUUGAACUUUCUUCUCCAACUAUUAGACGUGAGCCCUAAGGAAUCUCCGUGAUUGCAAAUCUUCAUAGUUAUAUCUUCCCUUUGCAUGCAUAGAUUCUGACCCACUGAUUGUGCCCUGAUUUGUGUGCUGUUUCCAUCAUAUCUUUUCCCUCUUUGUCGUUUUCUCAACCUCCCAUAAUCUUUUCUUUCAUGUCAAUCAAACAGUUAUCUCAUUAGUGCAAGAAAAUUCCUGUUGAGUAUAUAAUCCUUGGUCUAAGUAAAUAUUGUUGUCCAACAACUGUUGUCAUCAUUAAAAUGUCAGUUCUUCUGUCAGGUUUUCAGUUGCUUGUUAACCUUUGUAAGUUCAAUUUUAUCAUGGUUUUAUUCUGAUCUGAUUAAUUUAAUUUGACCACCUAUAUGGAUGGAAGCUCUUAGCUUCUCUCGUCCCAUUACAACACAUCAGUUGCAUUUCUGUUCUGAAUUCCUCUAUUAGCAUGAUUAAUGUCAUCAGGUUCUCCACAAUUUGAAGCUAUUUCUGAAUGUUACUACCUCUCAAGUAAAUCUUGGUUUCUCUUCCCCUCUUUCCUCCUAGCUUCCCCAUUAGCAUAACCUGGUACCUGGCCACUUAAUCGAAUAUUAAUGUAGAAGACUUGAGUUCUUGAAAAAACGAAAAAGGCAAAAUUUUGCGAGAGAGAUAAGCUGAAAGGAUGAGCCGAUAAGCUGAAAUAGUUGUUUGGAGAAUUCUAUGACCUAUAUUACAAAGGACAAAGGGGGCAUUGUGUAAUAUGACAAUUGGUGUGUUUUCUUAUUUGUAGUAUAUGUUUUUUCUUUGGUGUGUUUUCUUAUUUGUAGUAUAUGUUUUUUCUUCUGAAAUAGAGAUAGUAUGAUAUCCAACAUUUGGGAAGAAUUAUGCAAACUAACCCUUCUGUCACCGAGGGCAGAAUCCAAUUUAUUUGCCACAUGAGUUGAGUCUUUGGGUGAUUUGGGAAAAUUAGUUGUUUAAAGGACUACAUUUGUUUUUAGUCAUCUAAUUGUCUAAGGCUGAUUAGCUAAUAGUUUCAUAUGUUACUUAAAGGUUAACAUACUUUGCCACCUGCAACAUGAUCAACUUAAAGCAGUUUUCCAUGUCUCUCAGAAGAUCAGGAGGGCAGUAAGUCAUUCUUUCUCUCCGUUUCUCUCCAUUUUUCUCUUUUAAGCCACAUAAGAAGAUUUGAUGUCUAAUUGCUGGUGAAAAUGGGACAGGUGAUUCUGGCAAAACAAUUCUAUUUCAAUUAUACUACUCCAAAUAGAACGCAGCAAGAUAUGUUAGGAACCAUGACUCCUCUCCCCACUGAUCACUGGCCUUUUGCAAGGUAAUAUACUAUGAUUUGGUGACCAUCCUUUAGAUGGUUAUGGGAUUUAUGUGUUAAAUUAUCUAAUAUAGCUAUCACUUUGCAGCAAGGGGGAUGGGAAAGGUGCAUGUGUUCACAGUCCUCGUACUCCUCAGGCUCCCAAGCAUGGUCCCAAGCCCCCAUCUCGGCUCAAGUUUAUAGAGAUGGAGCAAAUUGCAGCUGUUCUUUUCCAGGAAUCUGCAUUUCCUUCAAGGUGUUUGGUGCCAUCUGUUAUACCAAAACCGCUUUGCAAGCCCUUGGGUUCUAAUAGAGUUCUAUUUUAUGAGGAUGAAUUAUGCCAGGCUGUUUCUCAGAAUAAGCUUCGUUAGCUUCUGCAUUAGUUUCUUAUCUCCUAGUAUGUGUAUAGUAGGAAUCUUGACAGUAAAAUACAGCUAUGCUGGAGUUUUGUAAUAUUAUCAGGGCUCAUGAAAGUUGUGGUGUUUGAAGAUUGCAGUAGGUUAUAAAGAUUUGAAGGUUGUGAUGCAAAUAAUACAUUUAUACUGGUCUUGUGUAUAGUCCUAUAUAAUUUCCUUGUAUUAGGUUUUGGAGUGGCAGUGAUUGUUUCUCUUAUCUGUAGCAAUGAAGUGAAGACAAUAUAUGUUAUGUUUAAGAGUAGUUAAUUGUGAGGAUGAUUUUGGUUCUUGUUACAGCACAAUUUCAAGCGAUAUUGCAUAAACAUUGCAAAUUUACAAAGCGAGAUUAAGAUCUCUAGACUGCAAUGUAUCAACAAUUUCAUAGUAGCUCUAGAACUGCCGUGCAACACAUUUUAAUCUCAAACGAGCAGUGCUGGCAUGUCUGCAAUGACAAUUGCAUUCUCUAGAUGGUGCCACUCUAAAAAGUAUAAAUGUAGUUUUUGUUGAAUCUAUUUACCUGUUAGUCUAAAGCCAACUAGCUCCAUUUGUGUUCAUUGAAGAGAGGGAAAACAAAGUAAUUUAAGCUUCAGUGUCCCUAUUGUUUGCAUUCUCUAGAUGGUGCCACUCUAAAAAGUAUAAAUGUAGUUUUUGUUGAAUCUAUUUACCUGUUAGUCUAAAGCCAACUAGCUCCAUUUGUGUUCAUUGAAGAGAGGGAAAACAAAGUAAUUUAAGCUUCAGUGUCCCUAUUGUAUCCAACAUCGUUUCGACCUUUACAUUAACCCCUGCUCAAUAAUGCAUUUAUUUCUGUGUAGUGGUAAAAUCUACGUACACUCCACCCUUUCCAGACCUCACUUGUGGGAUUUUACAAAGUAUGUCGAUGAUUCAUACAAGAACUUUUUAAGAGGCAAAACAAGGAGCAAUGAUUAGGAGAAAAGAAAAAAGAAUAAAAUGGGUCUGCAAGGAGGACAUUUAGGGAGGCUUGCUCCCCGAACACACAACUCUGGUGAAAACAAAUACAGCUCCCGUGCCAAGGAUCUAUCACACGAACUUAGUGCCUUCGAUUGGCAUCAAGAAAUAACCUAUCAGCUGUUAACAUUUUCAUUCUUUGAUUGGAAAAUGAGGAAAAAUGACCAACCCGGAGUAACCCCCAUCUCCAUCAUGUAAUUCCUAAUUGCUCAUCAGCAGAUGAGUUCUUCCAUGGUUUCACAAGGAUAUGAAUUGGCUCAGAAUAACAGGAUAAGGUACAAAUAAAAAAACAAUAUAUAUCAAGGAUUCAAAAAGCAGAAACUGAUGAAUUUGCACAAUGACCAGAACUAGUUUCAUGCCCCUCUCGCAUCAUAUCGUGUUUGAAUCACUUUUGCAUGUGCUUCACGACAUAAAGCAUGUGUACUAUACAUGCACAGCAGAAAAGAAGAUCAUAGAACUGACUACUGUUAAUAAAUCUACAUUAUUGAAAGAGAGACCAACACAAACACCAAUAAAUACAGCAGAUCUUGAUAUCCCUAAAAACAAUCAUAUGAAGUUGGAAGGACCCAUCAUGGUGACUUCUAAUCAAUCCCUGGAUAUCGGAUAAUUGCAAACCAAACCACACCAACCCAGCCUGUCAAUGAGCACUAACAAGGAAUGGAUGCUGGCAGACGCUGCACUCUAUCGUUUCUGAUCCAGAAGCUGGAACUUCAACCUGAAAACUUAAUUGCAUUAGGAUACUCACCUAGCGGAAGUUGUUGUGUUAACAUUAUAAUAAGUCUCAGCAAUAGGUAGACGGCAACAGCUGUGUGCAUUUUAUAUUUUACCACGACCAUGUAAUAUGAAAAUGCAUAUUUCACCAUCCUCUCAACAUCUUUUUUCAUUUCUUAAAAAGUUCUAAACGGUUUGGCUCAUGUUUUAUUCUAUAUAAUAGGUCCCAAAACUUAUCCAAUCAUUUCAAAGUAUAAGGUCUGCUAAUCCAGGCAGCAGUCCUUUCUUUGUUCUUUUUCCCCUCCUCCUGGUCAACUGUUGAAACUAGUAAAUUUUGUGUUUCAAAAGAUGAAUUACUUUCAUAGGAACCUAGACACAACAGCGCAACAUGAGCGUGCCCUUAAUUAUAGCAGAUCAAAGUAUGUUUGAAAGGGCAAAUAGGCAAUUUCAUUCAACGGAAUAGAGCAAUGAAGUUAUGUAGUACGAAAAUCAAUCAUCUAUGUUCAACCAUAAAACAAAUGGGAAAAAAGAGUUCUCGCUUAUAAUACUAAACCUGCAAAUGGACUGUGCAAGUUGGACAUGCAACCUCUCUCAUCCUCCUUGAUCCUUGGGAUGUAUGACCUAAAUAAAAAUAAUAUAUAUGUUCAGUUCAGGGAAAGAAAAAAAAAAAAGCAAAUUGAAGCCGCCUUAGAACUUUGCACGCAAAUUCCAGACAGCAAUCCAUUGAAAAACUAUGUAUGUUGAAUUGAACCAGAUAUUGAUGGCUAAUACCUGUUGACGUCUUCCUUUUUUUGUCCAUCUCCUCCUGUCGAUGAAAUUCAAAUCAGAGAUAUUUACAUUAAAUGCUUAAGAUGCAACCACAAAGAUUACUUUAAAAGAACCAUCAGCCAAAAGAUGCAACUCAAGCUAUAUAAACAUAAAAACUCGUGAUUCUGCUGGCUCAUAUCGUAUAUCCUAUUUUUACAAUUAAGUUGACUAAAAAUAGUUUAACUUCUACAACCUCAGAAAAAGCAGAUGCAAUAAUUCUCAAAAAAAGAAAAAAAAGAAGAAAAAAACUGAUGCAAUAGUACUACUACGGGUCAUCAAACUACCGCUUCGAAAAUCUAUCUCAGAAAACAAAUAAUGAUGGAAACUCGGAAGUACAUAUCCACCUGGAGUUUUUUUGCAAGAUCUACAUGACUUGGCAAUGCAGCAACUCUGACCGCUGAUUUAGCAUUGCUGAGCCUUUGAGUUACCUCAGCCUACAAAAUGAGAAGCAAUAUUUAAAACACGAGAAACUAUUUGAGCUCAGCACAUCUUGUGAAGGUACUCUGCUUAAAAGUUGAUAUCCGCAAUAACGUUAAAGAAUGCAAACAUACAGAAGAUCAACAUGUUGAAAAAUAAUAACAAUAAAGAAAGUAAACAAUGAAAAUCAGCAUCAUGAAAGAGUGGCAAAGUUUUGGAUAGUACAAUGAACACCAUAUCAAGAUAGUAAAAUUUAUAAAAAGCUGAAAGGUUUUGACGCCUCAAUUUUUCUCAGAAAGAGAUUUCUGUACAACUAAGCUGGCUGAUGAAAAGGGUUUCAGCAAUUCUCCCACAAAUUACAUGUGAUAUUACCACCAAAGACUCUAGUAGACGUCAUCAAUGAGCAAGGGUGGCAGCGAGGGGAUUGAUUUUAACAGAUGAGAAUCUACGAUAGAGGAAGAUCACAUAUAAUGCUCAAGCAAACACAAGGACCACCUUCUAUUACAUUACAGGGUGACAGCAUGGUUGUGAUAGACAUUUAGUCAGUUUAAUGUACAGUAGAUGAUGUCAGGUAUAGUGUUCUCCACUAGUUCUUAUGUGGGUCUUCUUGCAAAGAGAGGAAUAGAAAACAUUUGAUGGUGCAAGAAAACCACAAUGUACAUAAGGGGAAUAGCCUUUUAUUCCUCUUGACUCUACUUUUGGUACACUUCUCGUGUACAAGAGAUAUCCAUAAAUAUCAUUAACGAUAUUUACCUCAUCAAAAAUUGUCAACGAGCAACCACCCCUUUUUAAUCUAAAGUCUUCUGUAAAGCAUGUUCCGACAAGUUUAGAUAGAUAGAAACACAUGCACUUACAUCCUCAAUGACCUCAACAACGUCGAUGAGCAUUACAUCUCUAAUUUCUCAAUGAACUUUUUUGACGAGGUCCAAUUUUUCAAUGAUUAACCAAAGGGUUCUUUUGGGCAGAAAAUCUUAUGCACAUGAAUUAUAAUUUUCUAUAAUUCUUAGGGGUGAAAAUUUCUUUAAUGCCAUAUUGCAUAAAAGCAGUUCACCUCUUUAGCACCUUGUCGCCUGAAUUGAUGAUCAUGGGCAAAGCGCAAAGAUUGUUUUGCACCUAGCUUCAGUGGUUACAAACGCUUAUAAUGACCCUUCAACAACACUUUCUACACCUCUACAUGUUUGACAAAUUAUACUCUUUCAAUUGUCUUCCGAUUAAACUAACAAACUGGUUAGCAGCCAAUAGUUAUGAAGCAUAGUACAUGUACACCUGACACUAGAUAUCAUAUUUGUCCCGCUUCAGGUGCGGGCCACUCAGCCCCAGAGUGAAUGACCUUAAUGACUUCCUCACUAACCAUGCUAAGGCUGAGGGAUGAAGAAUGAGCAUGAAAGAAUAUAAUCACUUCGGAAUAAUAUGGGGAAAAUCCUACAACCAAACAUGAUCAGCUGGAGGCCGAGUUUUUUUCUGCAAAAGAAGAAUUCGUCGAUCGCAAAGGAAAAUAAUAUCAAAGCUCACAUUCAGGCUUCCCGCAAACAGAACCAAAAUACUUGAUACCGAUUAGUCAAAUUGAGAGCUCAUUUCACCAAAAUCAUGAGAAAAUAAAGAAUAGUUAUCGCAGAAAACUACUGGGAAAAAAGCAAGAUCCAAUCCUAUGUGCUAGAAGAUAGUGUAAAGAUGAAAAUAACAAAGCCACUUAGAGAAAGUCAUAAGUGGAUAUAAUUAGAUGCAGGCAUACCAUGCAUCGGUCACAAACUCGAACUGGUUGGGCAUCUUCAUCUGCAGUCAAAGCAGUUCUACCUUGAGUACAUUUGUCACAGAAAAUAUCGCCACAAUUUCUGCAGUGGUGCUGUAACAAAUUAUAUAUGAGUGAAAAAAUUAAAACAGGCAAUACAAGAUGCAAAUGAGACAUUCAGACCACCUAAAAAUGUUGGAAUUAAUGCUUACUCUUCGUAUAAAAGCACCAAAAUCUGUCCCACAAGCAGUGCACUUUCGAACAGCUUCAUCGGGAACCUGUAUGAGAAAAUAGGAGCGUAAGAAAAAUAGACAAGUUGCUAACUUUACAUCCUUGCACAAGUUUUGUUCGGAAAAAAUAGAAGAAAAUGCGGCAAUGAGUAAGGAAACAGAUAGUCGUUGGAUUAUAAUCUAACCCAGUGAUCUUUCUCUUCAUUGAGUGGCCUCAUCAACUUCAUCCAAUCAAAACCUUUCUUCUUCUCAGCAGCUGACUCGGAUCCCUUGAUUGCAUCUGACGGCAUACUACUCUCGCCCAUCUCUUUGGCCUAAACACCAUCACACCAGCCUGAGUACAUGCUUAUGACUAGUUUGAGAAGAAAUAUUAGUAAAACAAUGAAGAAAUAUACCCAAUAUAUGGUUGACAGCAAAGAAAGGAUCAUAAAAACCACUUUCAGGGUCUCAAAAUCAUGAUUGUAUCUAAACCCAAAGCCAACAAGAUAAGGACACCAACUAAAAUUAAAACAGAAUAAUCGUUAAAGACCUUUUAAGCUUAAUGUUUGUAUGUAGCGGUUGCUUGAUAGAAGGAUAUGAAUCAACUACGUCAGUAACGAGGCAAGUGGCUACCAGCGAUAAAACUGUUACCUUUACAAGAAAAAGUGGCUACUAACAAUAUAUUUUGUUAUACUGAAUUCUUCAGAUUAAAACCCUGGUAGUCCUCUUUUCUCGUCAUGGAUGGAAAAAAUUAGAAUAAGCAGAGAGUAGAACUCCAUAGUUCAUCUAAUAUAACAUGUGAGAUCGUCAAACCCAAGAAGGGGGGAAAACAUAUAUAUGGGUCAGGGGUGGUGGUGUACAUGGUAACAUCCACCAACCACCCACUCAUACAAUCAAUUUCUACUUUCUCCUACUGAAACUAGUCCAACUCUAAACCCUUCCAUUCCAAUCCACAUGAAAGUGGUGAUGAAGCCUGAGAGAAUUGAUUGCUAACGGAAACAAAAUUAAAAAACUGAGGAAGAAUGAUAUUAAGAGAGAAGAUGAAAGGGUCUUUCAAUAGGUACAAGUCUUAAUAUAAGUGGCUAAAUGAAAAAAUCGCACAAGUUUUUUUUGAUAACCAAAAAAAAAAAAAAGGACAAGUUAAAGGGGCAACAUAUAUAUAUUCAGCCUUCAAUAAACUAAUAUAAAACUUGAUACUUUGGCAUGUGCAACUCGACAAAAUCCAAAAAGUCACACAUUUCAAGAAAGAUAUCCGGGAACAAGAAAACUAACGCUAUGAGCACACAAAAAGGAAAUUAGAGUAAUCUUUGUCAAUAUGAAUAUAAAUCAUAUCUUCGUCAUACCAUACUAUACUAAAAGUAAUAACACUAAGUUAGAGAUAUAUAUGAAAACAUUAUAAAAUGAUAUUUAACACUUUAUGGCCCCAAUGCCUUGCAAUGUUGAUUUACAAAUUUACUCAUCAAGAUGAAGUAGCAAUUUUAUUGUUGAAAAAACAAAUUCUUUAAAUAAUUAAUAAAAAUAAAAGCAGCUACAUUGAACUGGUAAUUAGUGGAGGAUUUAGUUUAAUUCAUCGUUUCACAUUCCAAAUUUUAUUGUUUGGACCUCUAGCUUCCACCGGUUAUUAACAUUUAUCCAUAACAUUUACUGUUAUACUUAUAUUAUACAACACUUUACAAAAGUAGAUACCGUAGUGUCAAAUCACUUUAUUCUUCUUCUCUCCCAUGUUCCUGUAGAUUUUUUUGUUUGGUAUAUUCAGCUCAGCGGCAACUAAUAUGCUUAGGCAACUUUUUUUCUUUCAUGUUAGAGAAGCUUUUUUUCAUCUUAUUCCCUACCAUUUUGGAACUUGUAUUUAUGAGAUAACCUAUAAUAUAAUCCUUAAUUUUUUGUCGAAAGAAUCCGAGUGAACUUAGUUUAUAGUAGAUUGCUUUAUUACUCCAAUUAACGUGAAUUGCUUUAUUUUUACAUGAUUCUUAAUAAGUUGCUAUAAUCAGGGACAGAUCUAUAGUUAUUCGAGGGAAUUCACCCGAAUCCCCUCUGCAACAAUUACAUUGGAUAUUAUAUAAGGUGUUUUUUUAAUGUAUAUGUAGAGAUUUUGAAUCCCCUGAAUAUAAGAUUAUAGGUUGGCUUAGCGGUUGAAGGGGUUCAAAAUUCACCGUGAGGUUCCGAGUUCAAGUCCCAAGCACUACAUUUUUAUUUUUUGAACCCCCUAACUAAAUGAAACCCCUAGAGCUGCCACUGGCUAUAUUACUAUAUUUAUCACGUGUGUGGUCAAAGGAUAUUUGUGCGUGUCUCCUAUAACUUUAAUGAUGUGAAUAUUACAAUAAUUCUGUUCCGUUUACUUUUAAAACAUAUAGCCCUUUUUUGUUUUCAUAAAUAAAUAUAGAAUCACUCAAGAAAAAGUGAAACUAAAACAAAAUCAAACGAAAGAGAAAACUCAACAUCUACUUUGGUUAACCUUAACUAUAUAUCAAGUUCAACUUGUAUCUUUCUUUUUUUUUUUCCUUCAAUAUUUCAGUUACUCUUUACACACAUAUUUUAAUAUUAUUUAUGUCUUUUAAAAAUCUAUACUAAUUGAAUUGGAAGACACGUUCAAUGCACAUAUCCAGAAACUAGUAUAUUACAUAAACGUGAAAAAACGGGGCAUAUAGCUGCUUUCUCAUAUAACACUGGGACUGACAGAGGCAGGCACUAGCUAUUAGCUAGGUUGGUUGACAUUCCCAUCCCACAUCAAACACUUCAAUCCGUAGUAAGCCACAAAGAAGUGAGUGAUUCAAAUGAUGAUGCACAAACUGAUCUCAAAAGGAAGUGGUUAGUUCUUUGAAUGCCAACUUUGAGAAGUCGGAUCAGUGUCGGCACAUUGUAUCCGAGAUGCUGGAUUACUUAUAUUGGUUGCAUUUGAUUAGGCCUUGGUCUCUGGGGAGAAACAAAUUAAAAGACAUACACAGGGAUGCAAAAAAAAUUAAAUACUGAUUGCUUAACCUGAAUACUUGCUGCUGUCACUGCAUCAAGAAUAUUGUUGGUGGUAUAGCUAUUUGAUUUCAGCCUGAUACGUUUAGCUUCAAUGUCAACAGAAGUUUUGGCCCAAAAUGCAAAUAUAUGUGAAUCCAACACCUAACAAAAAAUAAAAGAAAUUAACUUAAUUCAUAGAUAAAGAUGCCUAACAGACCUAAUAAGCUCAACUAAACAAACUUACCUCCCAUCUUGUCACGUUCUCGAGUGAAUAUAUCCUCUGAGUUCGGCUAGUAGCAGGAUCAAGUAAGCGAAUCCCAUCUAGACCAAUCUGAAACAAAAGUCCUUCUCAAUCGAAACUCAUAGAUAACAAGUAGGAGCAAUUUCCAAAUGGUAUGUUAAAUCAACAUAAAUAAGCAGGCAAACUGAAAAUUAGAAAAUACCAAGUUAGGCCUCCGAUAUAAAGACAUCAACAAUGAUAUAUUCUAACCUGACAAAGCACAUCCAUGUCACUCUGACCAAAGCCUUCGGAUAAAAGCUUGACACGAAACUUCAAAACACCACCUGUGGCAUCUUGUUGGUCCUCAAUCUUAGGUGCUGCUUUCACAACUUUAGGAGCACUCACAGGUCUCUGCUGCUCCCUACCACUAUGAACAUUGAUUGGUCUUCCAUAAUCAUCAAACAUCAUACCCGCAUUUGAUCGAUUUCCACUAUACGACUCCUCUUUCUUCCCAUUGUACUUGUAAACACCACUCUCAUACAAUCCCUGAUCUCCAUACGAACGAUAAUUAGAGCUAUUCUCAUACGAAUUACCAUAAUUAGUCCCUGCCGAGCCGCCAAAUGACGUCGAUGAAUAAGGAGCUGGCGAAUUCACUGAAUUAUAAUUAGGCGGAUUCGGUUCCUGAUAAUUAGCAGCAGGAGCAGCAUAAUCAUAACUCACAGGUGCUUGAUUUUGAUCAUACGGAUAAUAAUUUGGCUGCGGAGCCUCGAGGUGAGGGAAACCGUAUGACGAUUGAGAGGUGGGAUUUGAAGGGAAGGGAGCAGGUGGAUUAGGGACAUGAUCGGCAGAGGGCUGAGCAUACGGCGGAUAUGCGGAGGCGUAAUUGGAGUAAUCACCGGAAGCAACCGGCGGAGCAGAUGCAAAUUGGCUGGGGACGGCAGCCGCCGGAGUGUAGGGUGGAUCGGCCGGAGUAGAGCUGGGGUUAGGAUUAGGGUUAGGGUUGGGAAAGGGAGGCUGGUAAUAUUGGUAGUAGGUAGAGCUAACGUCACCGUGCUGCAUAUCGGAAUUUAUAUGAUUGAUCGGAGAAGGAGAAAGAUUUAACGGUGAUUGAUUGAUCAGUUUAGAGAAAAUUAUUAUGUAUUUUAAGAUGUUUAAUUUGUGAUUUAAGGGGAGUUUAGAUAAA